This is a non-coding RNA of Paramuricea clavata, 224 nucleotides long. The record is from the annotation of a GenBank genome assembly. Lineage: Eukaryota; Metazoa; Cnidaria; Anthozoa; Malacalcyonacea; Plexauridae.
AUGGAAAUAGGAUGGAUAUACUAUGGAUUUUGUGGUGCAAUUGCAAAUUUCGUAGUAUGGAUAUGAUUUCACUUUUUUUUUUCCAGUGGACGCUGCUCGUAGUCUUGCUACUCCACUCUCUUGUUGCUCCUGAUAGUUGUAUUUGUUCUUGUAAAUUAAGUUAUGUUAAAAGUUAUGUUAAUGAAAUUGUAUAUGUUUAUAUAUAGUAUAUUUGUGAAAUAGGG